GGGCAUCUCUCCUUCCCCUCGUCAGCUUCAGGGCAUCUCUCAUUCUGAAGAUGAAGUCUCCUUCCCCUCGUCAGUCUCAGGGCAUCUCUCCUUCCCCUUGUCAGGCUCAGGACACCUCUCUUUUCCCCUCAUCAGCCUCAGGGCAUCUCUCCUUCCCCUCGUCAGCCUCAGCGCAUCUCUCCUUCGGAAGAUAAAGUCUCCUGCCCCUCGUCAGCCUCAGGGAAUCUCUCCUUCCCCUCGUCAGCCUCAGGGCAUCUCUCCUUCCCCUCGUCAGCCUCAGGGCAUCUCUCCUUCUGCAGAUGAAGUCUCCUUCCCCACGUCAGCCUCAGGGCAUCUCUCCUUCCCCUCGUCAGCCUCAGGGCAUCUCUCCUUCUGAAGAUGAAGUCUCCUUCCACUCGUCAGUCUCAGGGCAUCUCUCCUUCUGAAGAUGAAGUCUCCUUCCCCUCGUCAGCCUCAGGGCAUCUCUCCUUCCCCUCGUCAGCCUCAGGGCAUCUCGCCUUCUGAAGAUGAAGUCUCCUUCCCCUCGUCAGCCUCAGGGCAUAUCUCCUUCCCCUCUUCAGCCUCAGGGCAUCUCUCCUUCUGAAGAUGAAGUCUCCUUCCCCUCGUCAGCCUCAGGGCAUCUCUCCUUCUGAAGAUGAAGUCUCCUUCCCCUCGUCGGCCUCAGGGCAUCUCUCCUUCUGAAGAUGAAGUCUCCUUCCCCUCGUCAGCCUCAGGGUAUCUCUCCUUCCCCUGGUCAGCCUCAGGACAUCUCUCCUUCCCCUCGUCAGCCUCAGGGCAUUUCUCCUUCUGAAGAUGAAGUCUACUGCCCCUCGUCAGCCUCAGGGGAUCUCUCCUUCCCCUCGUCAACCUCAGGGCAUCUCUCCUUCCCCUCGUCAGCCUCAGGGCAUCUCUCCAUCCCCUCAUCAGCCUCAGGGCAUCUCUCCUCCUGAAGAUGAAGUCUCCUUCCCCUCGGCAGCCUCAGGGCAUCUCUCCUUCUGAAGAUGAAGUCUCCUUCCCCUUGUCAGCCUCAGGGCAUCUCUCCUUCUGAAGAUGAAGUCUCCUGCCCCUCGUCAGCCUCAGGGAUCUCUCCUUCCCCUCGCCAGCCUCAGGGCAUCUCUCCUUCCCCUCGUCAGCCUCAGGGCAUCUCUCCUUCUGAAGAUGAAGUCUCCUUCCCCUCGUCAGCCUCAGGGCAUCUCUCCUUCUGAAGAUGAAGUCUCCUUCCCCUCGUCAGCCUCAGGGCAUCUCUCCUUCCCCUUGUCAGCCUCAG
This 1246-nucleotide long non-coding RNA is filed under the name Salmo salar (Atlantic salmon). RNAcentral's name for it is "lncRNA (ENSSSAG00000082457.1)". The record is from RNAcentral. Lineage: Eukaryota; Metazoa; Chordata; Actinopteri; Salmoniformes; Salmonidae.